RNAcentral lists this long non-coding RNA (251 nucleotides) under Lathyrus oleraceus (garden pea). Its description in RNAcentral is "Pisum sativum (pea) long non-coding RNA (PSAT_LNC023230)". The record is from RNAcentral. Lineage: Eukaryota; Viridiplantae; Streptophyta; Magnoliopsida; Fabales; Fabaceae.
GCACUUUGAAUAAAUUUCAAAAGAGCUCUUCUAAAUCAAAAGAGGUUGCCUUAGUGUGACAUUAAAUGGUGAAAUGGACAUGAUAUGUGUCAUUCUUCAAACAAUAAAACUCAAAAAUGGGCCUAUUCAAGCACUUCCACAAUUAAUUCUAUUUUUCUUUUUUAUGCGUUUUGUUUUAGAUUUUUUUUUUAAUCAUGAUGUUUUAAUUAUAUUUGUGUUUAAUUUUUAAAAGAAUAUUUUUUAUAUUAAAA